GGAGCAUGUGGUUUAAUUCGAUGCAACGCGAAGAACCUUACCUACUCUUGACAUCCAGAGAACUUAGCAGAGAUGCUUUGGUGCCUUCGGGAACUCUGAGACAGGUGCUGCAUGGCUGUCGUCAGCUCGUGUUGUGAAAUGUUGGGUUAAGUCCCGCAACGAGCGCAACCCUUAUCCUUUGUUGCCAGCGGUUAGGCCGGGAACUCAAAGGAGACUGCCAGUGAUAAACUGGAGGAAGGUGGGGAUGACGUCAAGUCAUCAUGGCCCUUACGAGUAGGGCUACACACGUGCUACAAUGGCAUAUACAAAGAGAAGCGACCUCGCGAGAGCAAGCGGACCUCAUAAAGUAUGUCGUAGUCCGGAUUGGAGUCUGCAACUCGACUCCAUGAAGUCGGAAUCGCUAGUAAUCGUGGAUCAGAAUGCCACGGUGAAUACGUUCCCGGGCCUUGUACACACCGCCCGUCACACCAUGGGAGUGGGUUGCAAAAGAAGUAGGUAGCUUAACCUUCGGGAGGGCGC
This 519-nucleotide ribosomal RNA is filed under the name uncultured bacterium. Its description in RNAcentral is "bacterial SSU rRNA". It matches the Rfam family "Bacterial small subunit ribosomal RNA", at positions 934 to 1453 of the family's 1533-position model. The record is from RNAcentral.